GUUGCUUUUUGUGGUGCCGCCCGCCAUUGAUGACCGUUCCCGCGGCCUUUUGGCCCCGGGAGGGAGAGAGCACAGGCUGAGUGGU
Molecule: small nucleolar RNA, 85 nt
Filed under: Leptosomus discolor (cuckoo roller)
Lineage: Eukaryota; Metazoa; Chordata; Aves; Leptosomiformes; Leptosomidae
Description: Small nucleolar RNA U3
Rfam family: Small nucleolar RNA U3
About the family: Small nucleolar RNAs (snoRNAs) are involved in the processing and modification of rRNA in the nucleolus. There are two main classes of snoRNAs: the box C/D class, and the box H/ACA class.
Source: Rfam by way of RNAcentral